AUGGCUCCUCAAGUUUUUCGCACCCAAUCUCUGAUUGUCCAUUCCCACCAUGCACUCUCUCUUCUCUGCGCCAUCCUUGUAUUUCUGUCCUCCAACACAAUGGUGUUCACAUCAGCACAAGCUAGCAACAGAUCCGAGAGUGACCGGCAAGCCCUUCUCUGCUUCAAAUCUGGCAUCUCCGUGGACCCUCUCAGUGCUCUUGAAUCAUGGCGCAACGACUCGCUUGACUUCUGCAGCUGGAGCGGGGUCUUCUGCAGCAUUGCCCUCCCAGUCCGUGUUGUGGUCAUACAAAUCAGGUCUGCACGGCUCACAGGAACACUAUCCAGAUGCAUAGCAGGCCUUAGUUCUCUAGAGCAGAUGGACCUUGGGUACAAUGGAUUGUCUGGAAGCGUGCCUGAAGAGAUAGGUGAGCUUGGGAGCCUCCGAACUCUGGAUCUUGCGGGAAACAAGUUUGCAGGUAACAUCCCUCUGUCGUUAGGUGCAUCUGCAUCCCUUAGCUAUGUCAACCUCGCAGACAAUUCUCUUAGUGGAGUUAUCCCUCAUUCCUUAUCAAAUAGUUCGUCACUCAGUGUGAUAAUGCUCUCAUGGAACAACUUAUCUGGGGUGAUCCCGGCUAAUCUGCUCAUGUCAUCCAAACUUUCCUAUGUUGAUCUCCAGUGGAAUGCUCUCUCAGGGGCAAUCCCACAUUUCCAAAAGAUGGAUGCUCUGAAAUAUUUAUGUCUUGAAGGGAAUUUACUUUCUGGUAAUAUACCAGCAUCUUUGGGAAAUGUUUCGUCCUUGCGUUCCCUCAUGCUAGGACAAAACAUGCUCUCUGGAAACAUACCAGCUGAGAUAGACAACCUUGUAAGCCUCACUGAGCUUGACAUGGGCCAGAACAUGCUCUCUGGACAAAUUCCCCUGACAGUUUGGAACUUGAGCAACUUGUUUGUCCUGAAACUUUCCAUGAAUAGGUUGUCAGGUAAAAUUCCAUCAACGGUUAGUAAUCUAGCUCAACUCGGAAUGUUUUAUCUUGAUGACAAUGAAUUGUCUGGAAACAUACCAGCAAAUAUAGGAAAAUUCAAAAGGCUGCUUAUGCUGAACUUAUCAGUUAACCGCCUUGAUGGAUUCAUACCAAGAGAACUAUUCAGUAUUCCCACCCUUUCACUGGGUUUGGACUUGUCAAACAACAACCUGACUGGGCGGAUACCACAGGAAGUUGGUAACCUGAUCAAUCUUGGCCUCCUUAAUGUUUCCAACAACAAAUUAAUUGGUGGCCUUCCUUUUGAACUUGGCUGGUGUGUCCAAUUAUUAUCCCUUCAAAUGGAAAACAACAUGCUUAGUGGGCAGAUUCCUCAGUCUCUCAGUGCACUGAAGGUCAUGCAGCAGAUAGAUCUGUCCGAGAACAAUUUAACUGGUCAAGUUUCACAGUUUUUCGGGAACUUCAGCAGCUUGAAUUAUAUUAAUAUAUCGUACAACAAAUUUGAUGGGCCAGUACCGACAGGUGGUAUAUUUGGAAAUUCAACUGCAGUAUUCCUGCAAGGUAACACAGGGUUAUGUGAAACAGCUGCUGCCAUAUUUGGACUGCCCAUUUGCCCCGCCACCUCAGCAACAAAAAGGAAGAUCAAUGCACCUCUGCUGCUGAUAAUAACUGCACUGAUUACUAUUGCUUCGGUUAUAUUUGUUGUUGUCACUAUUAUGAAGGGGCCCAGAACUCAACCACCUGAAGACUUCAAGGAGACAAUGAAGAGGGUGUCAUAUGGGGAUAUCCUUAAAGCCACCAAUUGGUUCUCUCUGGUCAACCGGAUCAGCUUGAGUCACACAGCAUCAGUCUACAUUGGUCGGUUUGAGUCCGAAACAGAUCUAGUGGCCAUCAAGGUGUUCCAUCUUAGCAAGCAAGGUUCGAGAACUAGCUUUUCCACCGAGUGUGAAGUGCUGAAAAACACCCGCCACCGCAAUCUGGUUCAAGCCAUCACCUUAUGCUCAACCAUAGAUUUUGAGGGCGAUGAAUUCAAGGCUAUAGCAUACGAGUUCAUGGCAAACGGUAGCCUGGACAUGUGGAUACACCCAAGGGUUCAUGGAGGCAGCCCAAGGAGGCUGCUGAGCUUGGGUCAGCGGAUACGUAUUGCUGCUGAUGUGGCUUCUGCUCUGGACUAUAUGCACAACCAUCUGACACCUCCUUUGAUCCACUGCGAUCUGAAGCCAGGCAAUGUGCUGCUGGACUAUGACAUGACAUCACGCAUCGGUGACUUUGGGUCCGCCCAGUUUCUCUCUUCAGGUAUUGGCGGACCAGCAGGCUUGGUUGGCGUCGGAGGAACGAUUGGAUAUAUUGCACCUGAAUAUGGGAUGGGAUGCAAAAUAUCGACAGACUAUGAUGUGUACAGCUUCGGGGUGCUGCUACUGGAGAUGCUCACGGCAAUUCGACCAACGGACGCACUAUGCGGCGACGCUCUCAGCCUUCACAAGUAUGUCAACCUAGCCUUCCCCGACAGAAUCGCUGAAGUUCUAGAUCCCCACAUGCCAUCCGAGGAGGAUCAGAUGGCUGCUUCUGAACGGAUGCAGAAAUACGUUAUACCUUUGGUCGGUAUUGGCCUGAUGUGUACCAUGGAAUCGCCGAAUGAUAGACCAGGAAUGCAUGAUGUUUGUGCCAGAAUUGUUGCCAUCAAAGAGGCAGUUGCCUUGUGA
This 2661-nucleotide ribosomal RNA is filed under the name Triticum aestivum (bread wheat). RNAcentral describes it as "partial small subunit ribosomal RNA". The record is from RNAcentral. Lineage: Eukaryota; Viridiplantae; Streptophyta; Magnoliopsida; Poales; Poaceae.